ACGCCUCAGUUCGGAUUGCAGCCUGCAACUCGGCUGCAUGAAGCUGGAAUCGCUAGUAAUCGCGGAUCAGAAUGCCGCGGUGAAUACGUUCCCGGGUCUUGUACACACCGCCCGUCACACCAUGGGAGCCGGAAACGCCCGAAGCCAGCGGCCCAACCGCAAGGGGGAGCUGUCGAAGGCGGGUCCGGUGACCGGGGUGAAGUCGUAACAAGGUAAC
RNAcentral lists this ribosomal RNA (217 nucleotides) under uncultured bacterium. RNAcentral's name for it is "partial 16S ribosomal RNA". It matches the Rfam family "Bacterial small subunit ribosomal RNA", at positions 1283 to 1500 of the family's 1533-position model. The record is from RNAcentral.